Molecule: non-coding RNA, 28 nt
Filed under: Homo sapiens (human)
Lineage: Eukaryota; Metazoa; Chordata; Mammalia; Primates; Hominidae
Source: RNAcentral
UGAGAUACUCAAGAUGGCGAGUAAAGUG